GGAGUGGUACUCAAGAGGCUGAAGAGGACGGUUUGCUAAAUCGUUAGUAGGGCAACCUAGCGUGGGUUCGAAUCCCACCCACUCCGCCA
Molecule: transfer RNA, 89 nt
Filed under: Selenomonas sp.
Lineage: Bacteria; Bacillati; Bacillota; Negativicutes; Selenomonadales; Selenomonadaceae
Also listed under: 1 other name
Description: tRNA-Ser
Rfam family: tRNA
About the family: Transfer RNA (tRNA) molecules are approximately 80 nucleotides in length. Their secondary structure includes four short double-helical elements and three loops (D, anti-codon, and T loops). Further hydrogen bonds mediate the characteristic L-shaped molecular structure. tRNAs have two regions of fundamental functional importance: the anti-codon, which is responsible for specific mRNA codon recognition, and the 3' end, to which the tRNAs corresponding amino acid is attached (by aminoacyl-tRNA synthetases). tRNAs cope with the degeneracy of the genetic code in two manners: having more than one tRNA (with a specific anti-codon) for a particular amino acid; and 'wobble' base-pairing, i.e. permitting non-standard base-pairing at the 3rd anti-codon position.
Source: RNAcentral